Molecule: ribosomal RNA, 253 nt
Filed under: uncultured bacterium
Lineage: Bacteria
Description: partial 16S ribosomal RNA
Rfam family: Bacterial small subunit ribosomal RNA
Source: RNAcentral
UACGUAGGUGGCAAGCGUUAUCCGGAUUUAUUGGGCGUAAAGGGAACGCGGGCGGUCUUUUAAGUCUGAUGUGAAAGCCUUCGGCUUAACCGGAGUAGUGCAUUGGAAACUGGGAGGCUUGAGUGCAGAGGAGGAGAGUGGAACUCCAUGUGUAGCGGUGAAAUGCGUAGAUAUAUGGAAGAACACCAGUAGCGAAAGCGGCUCUCUGGUCUGUAACUGACGCUGAGGUUCGAAAGCGUGGGUAGCAAACAGG